CAAUAGCGUAUAUUAAAGUUGUUGCGGUUAAAAAGCUCGUAGUUGGAUUUCUGCUGAGAACGACCGGUCCGCCCUUUGGGUGUGUAUCUGGCUCUUUCUUGGCAUCUUCUUGGUGAACGUUGCUGCACUUGACUGUGUGGAGCGCUACCCAGGACUUUUACUUUGAGGAAAUUAGAGUGUUUCAAGCAGGCAUACGCCUUGAAUACAUUAGCAUGGAAUAAUAAGAUAGGACCUCGGUUCUAUUUUGUUGGUUUCUAGAGCUGAGGUAAUGAUUAAUAGGGAUAGUUGGGGGCAUUCGUAUUUAACUGUCAGAAGUGAAAUUCUUGGAUUUGUUAAAGACGGACUACUGCGAAAGCGUCUGCCAAGGAUGUUUUCAUUGA
RNAcentral lists this ribosomal RNA (380 nucleotides) under uncultured eukaryote. RNAcentral describes it as "partial 18S ribosomal RNA". It matches the Rfam family "Eukaryotic small subunit ribosomal RNA", at positions 592 to 976 of the family's 1831-position model. The record is from RNAcentral.